GACGAACGCUGGCGGCGUGCCUAACACAUGCAAGUCGAACGGAAAGGCCCUGCUUUUGUGGGGUGCUCGAGUGGCGAACGGGUGAGUAACACGCGAGUAACCUGCCCUUGUCUUUGGGAUAACUUCAGGAAACUGGGGCUAAUACCGGAUAGGAGCUCCUGCUGCACGGUGGGGGUUGGAAAGUUUCGGCGGUUGGGGAUGGACUCGCGGGUUAUCAGCUUGUUGGUGGGGUAGUGGCUUACCAAGGCUUUGACGGGUAGCCGGCCUGAGAGGUUGACCGGCCACAUGGGUACUGAGAUACGGACCAGACGCGUACGGGAGGCAGCAGUGGGAAAUAUUGCGGAAUGGGGGGAAGCCUGAGGCGGCAACGCCGCGUGCGUGAUGACGGCCUUCUGGGUGUAAACCGCUUUCGCCUGUGACGAAGCGUGAGUGACGGUAAUGGGUAAAGAAGCACCGGCUAACUACGUG
RNAcentral lists this ribosomal RNA (468 nucleotides) under uncultured bacterium. RNAcentral's name for it is "partial 16S ribosomal RNA". It matches the Rfam family "Bacterial small subunit ribosomal RNA", at positions 28 to 507 of the family's 1533-position model. The record is from RNAcentral.